CAUAUCAAUAAGCGGAGGAAAAGAAACUAACAAGGAUUCCCCUAGUAACUGCGAGUGAAGCGGGAAAAGCUCAAAUUUAAAAUCUGGCAGCCUUUGGUUGUCCGAGUUGUAAUCUAGAGAAGUGUUAUCCGCGUUGGACCGUGUACAAGUCUCCUGGAAUGGAGCGUCAUAGAGGGUGAGAAUCCCGUCUUUGACACGGACUGCCAGGGCUUUGUGAUGCGCUCUCGAAGAGUCGAGUUGUUUGGGAAUGCAGCUCAAAAUGGGUGGUAAAUUCCAUCUAAAGCUAAAUAUUGGCGAGAGACCGAUAGCGAACAAGUACCGUGAGGGAAAGAUGAAAAGAACUUUGGAAAGAGAGUUAAACAGUACGUGAAAUUGCUGAAAGGGAAACGCUUGAAGUCAGUCGCGUUGUCCAGGGAUCAGCCUUGCUUUUGCUUGGUGCACUUUCUGGUUGACGGGUCAGCAUCAAUUUUGACUAUUGGAAAAAGAUUAGGGGAAUGUGGCAUCUUCGGAUGUGUUAUAGCCCUUGGUUGCAUACAAUGGUUGGGAUUGAGGAACUCAGCACGCCGCAAGGCCGGGUUUUUAACCACGUACGUGCUUAGGAUGCUGGCAUAAUGGCUUUAAUCGACCCGUCUUGAAACACGGACCAAGGAGUCUAACAUGCCUGCGAGUGUUUGGGUGGAAAACCCGAGCGCGUAAUGAAAGUGAAAGUUGAGAUCCCUGUCGCGGGGAGCAUCGACGCCCGGACCAGACCUUUUGUGACGGUUCCGCGGUAGAGCAUGUAUGUUGGGACCCGAAAGAUGGUGAACUAUGCCUGAAUAGGGUGAAGCCAGAGGAAACUCUGGUGGAGGCUCGUAGCGAUUCUGACGUGCAAAUCGAUCGUCAAAUUUGGGUAUUAGGGGCGAAAGACUAAUCGAACCAUUCUAGUAGCUGG
RNAcentral lists this ribosomal RNA (931 nucleotides) under Cortinarius sp. PDD 112384. RNAcentral describes it as "partial large subunit ribosomal RNA". It matches the Rfam family "Eukaryotic large subunit ribosomal RNA", at positions 39 to 954 of the family's 3401-position model. Lineage: Eukaryota; Fungi; Basidiomycota; Agaricomycetes; Agaricales; Cortinariaceae. The record is from RNAcentral.